This 127-nucleotide small RNA is filed under the name Marmota monax (woodchuck). The record is from RNAcentral. Lineage: Eukaryota; Metazoa; Chordata; Mammalia; Rodentia; Sciuridae.
GCCAGGUGCAGUGUUGCAUACCUGUAAUCCCAGCUGCUCGGGAGGCUGAGGCAGGAGGAUCGCAAGUUCAAAGCCAGCCUCAGCAACUUAGCGAGGCACUAAGCAACUCAGUGAGACUUUGUCUCUA